AGAGUUUGAUCCUGGCUCAGGACGAACGCUGGCGGCGCGCCUAACACAUGCAAGUCGAACGGAGUUGAGAGGAGCUUGCUUUUCUCAACUUAGUGGCGAACGGGUGAGUAACGCGUGAGUAACCUGCCCUGGAGUGGGGGACAACAGUUGGAAACGACUGCUAAUACCGCAUAAGCCCACGGUACCGCAUGGUACUGGGGGAAAAGGAUUUAUUCGCUUCAGGAUGGACUCGCGUCCAAUUAGCUAGUUGGUGAGGUAACGGCCCACCAAGGCGACGAUUGGUAGCCGGACUGAGAGGUUGAUCGGCCACAUUGGGACUGAGACACGGCCCAGACUCCUACGGGAGGCAGCAGUGGGGGAUAUUGCACAAUGGGGGAAACCCUGAUGCAGCGACGCCGCGUGGAGGAAGAAGGUUUUCGGAUUGUAAACUCCUGUCGUUAGGGACGAUAAUGACGGUACCUAACAAGAAAGCACCGGCUAACUACGUGCCAGCAGCCGCGGUAAAACGUAGGGUGCAAGCGUUGUCCGGAAUUACUGGGUGUAAAGGGAGCGCAGGCGGACCGGCAAGUUGGAAGUGAAAACUAUGGGCUCAACCCAUAAAUUGCUUUCAAAACUGCUGGCCUUAGUAGUGCAGAGGUAGGUGGAAUUCCCGGUGUAGCGGUGGAAUGCGUAGAUAUCGGGAGGAACACCAGUGGCGAAGGCGACCUACUGGGCACCAACUGACGCUGAGGCUCGAAAGCAUGGGUAGCAAACAGAAUUAGAUCCCCUGGUAGUCCAUGCCGUAAACGAUGAUUACUAGGUGUUGGAGGAUUGACCCCUUCAGUGCCGCAGUUAACACAAUAAGUAAUCCACCUGGGGAGUACGACCGCAAGGUUGAAACUCAAAGGAAUUGACGGGGGCCCGCACAAGCAGUGGAGUAUGUGGUUUAAUUCGAAGCAACGCGAAGAACCUUACCAGGUCUUGACAUCCGAUGCAUAGUGCAGAGAUGCAUGAAGUCCUUCGGGACAUCGAGACAGGUGGUGCAUGGUUGUCGUCAGCUCGUGUCGUGAGAUGUUGGGUUAAGUCCCGCAACGAGCGCAACCCUUAUUGUCAGUAGCCAGCAGGUGAAGCUGGGCACUCUGAUGAGACUGCCGGGGAUAACCCGGAGGAAGGUGGGGAUGACGUCAAAUCAUCAUGCCCCUUAUGAGCAGGGCUACACACGUGCUACAAUGGCGUAAACAGAGGGAGGCGAAGGAGUGAUCCGGAGCAAAUCUCAAAAAUAACGUCUCAGUUCGGAUUGUAGUCUGCAACUCGACUACAUGAAGCUGGAAUCGCUAGUAAUCGCAGAUCAGAAUGCUGCGGUGAAUACGUUCCCGGGUCUUGCACACACCGCCCGUCA
This 1378-nucleotide ribosomal RNA is filed under the name uncultured bacterium. RNAcentral's name for it is "bacterial SSU rRNA". It matches the Rfam family "Bacterial small subunit ribosomal RNA". The record is from RNAcentral.